CAGUAAAAAACAGCUGAUUCAAAGGGGGUGUAGCGGAUCUCAAAACUCUUCUGCGAAGGACUCAGUAAAAAACAGCUGAUUCAAAGGGGUGUAGCGGAUCUCAAAACUCUUCUGCGAAGGACUCAGUAAAAAACAGCUGAUUCAAAGGGGUGUAGCGGAUC
Molecule: long non-coding RNA, 161 nt
Organism: Oncorhynchus gorbuscha (pink salmon)
Lineage: Eukaryota; Metazoa; Chordata; Actinopteri; Salmoniformes; Salmonidae
Exons: 3
Source: RefSeq, a predicted model, not a curated record